GUGAAUCAUCAAAUUUUUGAACGCAAAUUGCACUCUCUGGUAUUCCGGAGAGUAUGCCUGUUUGAGGGUCAGUUAAAUACAAAUCGGUGUUUUGUUCCCGCUUUGCGUAGGGACGCAGCGGGGUUGGGUCGUCUUACCUUCGGUUAAAUGACCUGAAAUUUUGCAUGAUUUUCGAACUUAUUUUUAUAAUUUACGUACGUUUUUAAUGUCUGAUUUUUGGUGUGAUGAUACC
RNAcentral lists this unclassified non-coding RNA (232 nucleotides) under Glomus sp. RNAcentral's name for it is "partial contains 5.8S ribosomal RNA and internal transcribed spacer 2". The stretch from base 1 to 71 matches the Rfam family "5.8S ribosomal RNA", at positions 84 to 154 of the family's 154-position model. Lineage: Eukaryota; Fungi; Glomeromycota; Glomeromycetes; Glomerales; Glomeraceae. The record is from RNAcentral.